GCAUAUCAAUAAGCGGAGGAAAAGAAACCAACCGGGAUUGCCUCAGUAACGGCGAGUGAAGCGGCAAGAGCUCAAAUUUGAAAUCUGGCCCCCUCGGGGUCCGAGUUGUAAUUUGCAGAGGAUGCUUCGGGUGCGGCCCCCGUCUAAGUGCCCUGGAACGGGCCGUCAUAGAGGGUGAGAAUCCCGUCUGGGACGGGGUGUCCGCGUCCGUGUGAAGCUCCUUCGACGAGUCGAGUUGUUUGGGAAUGCAGCUCUAAAUGGGUGGUAAAUUUCAUCUAAAGCUAAAUACUGGCCGGAGACCGAUAGCGCACAAGUAGAGUGAUCGAAAGAUGAAAAGCACUUUGAAAAGAGAGUUAAAAAGCACGUGAAAUUGUUGAAAGGGAAGCGCUUGCGACCAGACUCGCCCGCGGGGUUCAGCCGGCAUUCGUGCCGGUGUACUUCCCCGCGGGCGGGCCAGCGUCGGUUUGGGCGGCCGGUCAAAGGCCCCCGGAAUGUAGUGCCCCUACGGGGGCACCUUAUAGCCGGGGGUGCAAUGCGGCCAGCCUGGACCGAGGAACGCGCUUCGGCACGGACGCUGGCAUAAUGGUUGCAAACGACCCGUCUUGAAACACGGACCAAGGAGUCUAACAUCUACGCGAGUGUUCGGGUGUCAAACCCGUGCGCGCAGUGAAAGCGAACGGAGGUGGGAGCCCCCCCGCGGGGCGCACCAUCGACCGAUCCUGAUGUCUUCGGAUGGAUUUGAGUAAGAGCGUAAAUGUGGGGACCCGAAAGAUGGUGAACUAUGCCUGAAUAGGGCGAAGCCAGAGGAAACUCUGGUGGAGGCUCGCAGCGGUUCUGACGUGCAAAUCGAUCGUCAAAUUUGGGUAUAGGGGCGAAAGACUAAUCGAACCAUCUGGUAGCUGGUUCCUGCGA
This 912-nucleotide ribosomal RNA is filed under the name Aspergillus bridgeri. Its description in RNAcentral is "LSU rRNA". It matches the Rfam family "Eukaryotic large subunit ribosomal RNA", at positions 38 to 963 of the family's 3401-position model. Lineage: Eukaryota; Fungi; Ascomycota; Eurotiomycetes; Eurotiales; Aspergillaceae. The record is from RNAcentral.